UACGUAGGUGGCAAGCGUUGUCCGGAUUUAUUGGGUUUAAAGGGUGCGUAGGCGGCUUUGUAAGUCAGUGGUGAAAUAUGGCAGCUCAACUGUCAAGGUGCCAUUGAUACUGCGGAGCUUGAGUACAGAUGAGGUAGGCGGAAUUGACGGUGUAGCGGUGAAAUGCUUAGAUAUCGUCAAGAACCCCCAUAGCGAAGGCAGCUUACUAGGCUGUAACUGACGCUGAGGCACGAAAGUGUGGGGAUCAAACAGG
Molecule: ribosomal RNA, 253 nt
Filed under: uncultured bacterium
Lineage: Bacteria
Description: partial 16S ribosomal RNA
Rfam family: Bacterial small subunit ribosomal RNA
Source: RNAcentral